UUAGCAGCAACAUCCCAUGAUCCGGUAGAGAAAAAGGACUGUAUACGACAGAGUUCUGACAAUAAUGCAAGCUAGGCGCCCAUGAAAAUCAAUAAGUAUAUAUAUAGCAAUAAAGGGAAGGCAGGCAGGCAUGCCAGGUAAGAACUAGCAGGACCACAGGGACUCUCCCAUGGUGGCCAGGUAAAAGCUAGCAGGACCACAGGGACUCUCCCAUGGUGGCCAGGUAAACCCUAGCAGGACCACAGGGACUCUCCCAUGGUGGCCAGGUAAACCCUAGCAGGACCACAGGGACUCUCCCAUGGUGGCCUGGUCAACUGCCAUGUCCAUGGCUCCUGGAUAAUUGGAAGAAGAAGUGAAUUGCCGCACUCUCAUGUGCACUACCUCUGCCUGUGCGAGUGCCAACUGGGUUUGUA
This 413-nucleotide long non-coding RNA is filed under the name Populus tremula. Its description in RNAcentral is "long non-coding RNA (PTRE_LNC002672)". Lineage: Eukaryota; Viridiplantae; Streptophyta; Magnoliopsida; Malpighiales; Salicaceae. The record is from RNAcentral.